UCCCUAGUGGCUCAGAUGGUAAAGCGUCUGCCUAUAAUGCAGGAGACCUGGGUUCGAUCCCUCGGUUGGGAA
Non-coding RNA from Bos taurus (domestic cattle), 72 nucleotides. Lineage: Eukaryota; Metazoa; Chordata; Mammalia; Artiodactyla; Bovidae. The record is from Rfam.